Molecule: ribosomal RNA, 577 nt
Filed under: uncultured bacterium
Lineage: Bacteria
Description: bacterial SSU rRNA
Rfam family: Bacterial small subunit ribosomal RNA
Source: RNAcentral
ACGGGUGAGUAAUACAUCGGAACGUAUCCUGGAGUGGGGGAUAGCCCGGCGAAAGCCGGAUUAAUACCGCAUACGCUCUGAGGAGGAAAGCGGGGGACCUUCGGGCCUCGCGCUCAAGGGGCGGCCGAUGGCGGAUUAGGUAGUUGGUGGGGUAAAGGCCUACCAAGCCGACGAUCCGUAGCUGGUCUGAGAGGACGACCAGCCACACUGGGACUGAGACACGGCCCAGACUCCUACGGGAGGCAGCAGUGGGGAAUUUUGGACAAUGGGGGCAACCCUGAUCCAGCAAUGCCGCGUGUGUGAAGAAGGCCUUCGGGUUGUAAAGCACUUUUGUCCGGAAAGAAAUCAUCGGGGCCAAUACCCCUGGUGGAUGACGGUACCGGAAGAAUAAGCACCGGCUAACUACGUGCCAGCAGCCGCGGUAAUACGUAGGGUGCGAGCGUUAAUCGGAAUUACUGGGCGUAAAGCGUGCGCAGGCGGUGCUGUAAGACCGAUGUGAAAUCCCCGGGCUUAACCUGGGAACUGCAUUGGUGACUGCAGCGCUGGAGUAUGGCAGAUGGGGGUGGAAUUUCCACGU